AUUGAACGCUGGCGGCAUGCCUUACACAUGCAAGUCGAACGGCAGCACGGGAGCUUGCUCCUGGUGGCGAGUGGCGAACGGGUGAGUAAUACAUCGGAACGUACCCUGAAGUGGGGGAUAACGUAGCGAAAGUUACGCUAAUACCGCAUAUUCUGUGAGCAGGAAAGAGGGGGGAUCGCAAGACCUCUUGCUUUAGGAGCGGCCGAUGUCGGAUUAGCUAGUUGGUGAGGUAAAGGCUCACCAAGGCGACGAUCCGUAGCGGGUCUGAGAGGAUGAUCCGCCACACUGGGACUGAGACACGGCCCAGACUCCUACGGGAGGCAGCAGU
RNAcentral lists this ribosomal RNA (328 nucleotides) under uncultured bacterium. Its description in RNAcentral is "bacterial SSU rRNA". It matches the Rfam family "Bacterial small subunit ribosomal RNA", at positions 30 to 355 of the family's 1533-position model. The record is from RNAcentral.